CGUAGGGUGCGAGCGUUAAAUCGGAAUUACUGGGCGUAAAGCGUGCGCAGGCGGUUAUAUAAGACAGAUGUGAAAUCCCCGGGCUCAACCUGGGAACUGCAUUUGUGACUGUAUAGCUAGAGUACGGCAGAGGGGGAUGGAAUUCCGCGUGUAGCAGUGAAAUGCGUAGAUAUGCGGAGGAACACCGAUGGCGAAGGCAAUCCCCUGGGCCUGUACUGACGCUCAUGCACGAAAGCGUGGGGGGCAAACAGGAUUAGAUACCCUGGUAGUCCACGCCCUAAACGAUGUCAACUGGUUGUUGGGUCUUCACUGACUCAGUAACGAAGCUAACGCGUGAAGUUGACCGCCUGGGGAGUACGGCCGCAAGGUUG
This 371-nucleotide ribosomal RNA is filed under the name uncultured organism. Its description in RNAcentral is "bacterial SSU rRNA". It matches the Rfam family "Bacterial small subunit ribosomal RNA", at positions 526 to 896 of the family's 1533-position model. The record is from RNAcentral.